RNAcentral lists this ribosomal RNA (572 nucleotides) under uncultured eukaryote. RNAcentral's name for it is "bacterial SSU rRNA". It matches the Rfam family "Eukaryotic small subunit ribosomal RNA", at positions 4 to 567 of the family's 1831-position model. The record is from RNAcentral.
CUGGUUGAUCCUGCCAGUAGUCAUAUGCUUYUCUCAAAGAUUAAGCCAUGCAUGUCUAARAAUAAACCCUUGAACGGUGAAUCUGCGAAUGGCUCAUUAAAUCAGUUAUUGUUUAUUUGAUGGUACCUUACUACUUGGAUAACCGUAGUAAUUCUAGAGCUAAUACAUGCGCCAAGCCCUGACUUCGGAAAGGGUGCAUUUAUUAGAUUCAAACCAUCGGUCCGUCUGGGCAACUGGGCGUGGCCUUUGAUGGUGAGUCAUAAUAACUUAGCGAAUCGAAUGGCCUUGAGCCGUCGAUGCUUCAUUCAAAUUUCUGCCCUAUCAGCUUUCGAUGGUAGGAUCUUGGCCUACCAUGGCUAUAACGGGUAACGGGGAAUUAGGGUUCGAUUCCGGAGAGGGAGCUUGAGAAACGGCUACCACAUCCAAGGAUGGCAGCAGGCGCGCAAAUUACCCAAUCCCGACACGGGGAGGUAGUGACAAUAAAUAACGAUGCUGGAUUAUUCUUAAUCCGGCAAUUGGAAUGAGAGUGAAUUAAAUCUCCACUCGAGGAACCAUUGGAGGGCAAGUCUGGU